Lolium rigidum is the source of this 855-nucleotide long non-coding RNA. RefSeq lists it as uncharacterized. The transcript has 3 exons. Lineage: Eukaryota; Viridiplantae; Streptophyta; Magnoliopsida; Poales; Poaceae. The record is from RefSeq and is a predicted model, not a curated record.
UUGGCUGAUAGUUCCCUCUCUGAUUGGGAGGCGCAUGUAAAGCUUAAGCAGGCUAGAUGCCGCAAUGAGCUGCAGCAGUACAUUGGUGAAGGUUUCCAUCCUUGUACACCAGAUUUCGAGAUUCUUAAGUGGUGGGCUGUGAAUUCAGCAAGGUACCCAAUCCUUGGCAACAUUGCCCGUGAUGUGCUAGCUGUACCAGCUUCCACGGUUGCCUCUGAAUCUGCAUUCAGCACAUGUGGGAGAGUUAUUACAGAUCAUAGAAGUAGUCUAGCACCUGAAACUCUCGAGGCAUUAAUGUGUUAUGGAGAUUGGAUUCGAACUAUCCAAUCUUCAGAAGCUGGAGAGAAGACCGGGUGUGAAAACUAACUUCAUUAUAUUUGCCAUGUAUCGACAUUUGGAGGCUUUGCCAAAGCUGAGUCAUGUUUGUUACAAGUUGAUGCAUCUAGUAAUGUACAUCUCCAGUUUAAGGACGUUUGAUUUUGGAUAAGACAAAGCCGAACUAGCUUUACAUGCAGGCAGGGGAAGUGAGUGAAGAGAGGGACUCUUAAGCUUAUACUUGUUAGUGAACUAAGCUGAGGCUGCUGGUUUGGAUUAGCUGCAGUAGACACAUGUUAUGACAACUAGUAUCUUGUCAAUUCUUCUAAAGCUACAAGAUCUGUUCUGCCAGUUUUAGGAAAAGGUGAUUGCAUUUGAAUAGACAAUGUCAAGAGCUUUGCAUCGGCUAAUAUGUAAUAGUUGAGAUAGUAUGUGCUAUUUAUUCUUGUGCUUUAAAAUUUGAACGGAGAAGUAUUUGGCUUCACGGCGUCCUCUUAUAUCUUUUACUCUUGUCGAUGGUUGAAGGCUUCGAAGCCCAAG